This 63-nucleotide transfer RNA is filed under the name Aradacanthia heissi. RNAcentral's name for it is "tRNA-Trp". The record is from RNAcentral. Lineage: Eukaryota; Metazoa; Arthropoda; Insecta; Hemiptera; Aradidae.
AAGACUUUAAGUUAAAAAAACUAUUAACCUUCAAAGUUAAAAAUAUUCAAUAAGUAAGCCUUA